This 429-nucleotide ribosomal RNA is filed under the name Bacillota bacterium. RNAcentral's name for it is "Firmicutes bacterium partial 16S ribosomal RNA". It matches the Rfam family "Bacterial small subunit ribosomal RNA", at positions 355 to 776 of the family's 1533-position model. The record is from RNAcentral. Lineage: Bacteria; Bacillati; Bacillota.
UAGGGAAUCUUCCACAAUGGACGCAAGUCUGAUGGAGCAACGCCGCGUGAGUGAAGAAGGUUUUCGGAUCGUAAAGCUCUGUUGUUGGUGAAGAAGGAUAGAGGCAGUAACUGGUCUUUAUUUGACGGUAAUCAACCAGAAAGUCACGGCUAACUACGUGCCAGCAGCCGCGGUAAUACGUAGGUGGCAAGCGUUGUCCGGAUUUAUUGGGCGUAAAGCGAGCGCAGGCGGAAUGAUAAGUCUGAUGUGAAAGCCCACGGCUCAACCGUGGAACUGCAUCGGAAACUGUCAUUCUUGAGUGCAGAAGAGGAGAGUGGAAUUCCAUGUGUAGCGGUGGAAUGCGUAGAUAUAUGGAAGAACACCAGUGGCGAAGGCGGCUCUCAGGUCUGCAACUGACGCUGAGGCUAGAAAGCAUGGGUAGCGAACAGG